CCCGUUAAUGCCCAGGAUCGCAUUUAAAUUCGGGCAAGCUUAGAGGUUUCCUCUGCAAAGAAGAAAACACAAUCAUCAGAANUGGCUUAGGACGGCCCCGCAUCGCCUUUGUAAUAAGUUUGACCCAAAGGUGUUUCCAUCGGGCGCCACUAGUGCCUACAUUCCCCAAGCUGCUCUAAGAGAAGGGGGCAGGGCUUAAGAAAGGGGCGGGGCUGGACUUGCGAUCGUCAAGCUGUCGCCCCCUGCUGCUUCCAUCACCUUGUGCAAGAACUGCAGGGCUUUGACUUGUAGAUUUGGAGGCAGCGCUGCUGGAAGAUGGUUGCGGGUUUCCCACUGAACCCCCANCCGCCCAUUUGCAAGCUGCCAUUCGGGGGCCUCGAACAUGGUGUCCAUUUCCACGUGGGACACCAAAGGCGCUGGGGGAGGGAAGCGGGGACGGAUGGGGAGAGCAGAGCCUCAGGAGAGCCCCCCCCUUUAAUUAGGCUGCCACAGGGCGGAGAACCGGGGCGCCUCUUUCUCCUAGGGCUGCAGAUCGGGGGCGCNCCGUCCAUCGGGCAGGCGAGCCAGGCUGGCUGCCGGUCUGGCGUCCCUUCCCGGCUGAGGAGCCCCGCUGGGCCCGGGUCGGUGCUCCAGGCGCGGAUGCUGUGCCAGCAGCCGAUCGAGUGCGCCUCGGUGGCAGCAGCAAAGCGCACGCGGCUCACCCCGUCUGCCCGCCCGCCUGGCCCUAGGGGUGGCGCUCCAGCCCCCUGUGGGGGUGUGUGUGAAAAGGGCCUUCGAGGCCCCUCCCCUCCCCGCCCAGCAGCGGGGCCUGGAGAAUUGCUCGAUCGGCAGGCAGGCGGGCAGGCAGGGCACGGGGCGGAUGGCGGAGGCUGCCCCGCCGGUGCCAGCCCGGCUGCUGCUGCCCCUCCUGGUGCUCCUCCUCCUCGUUGGCCUGGAGGGGCCCCAGGCGGCCGGGGGCGAAGAGGCGCCGGCGCCCAAGGUGGAGAGUACCAGCAUCCUUUGGAUGGAGACAGAGAGCNCCUUUAACCAGCAGACGCGUCCCAAGAGGAGACCCCAUUGUCUCAUUGGGGUACUGCAGAGGAAGUACCAUCACUGCCACCUGCACCUUUGGGUCCGAAAAUGGAAGCCCAGGGGCGNCGUCUUCCUGCAUCAUCCGUGUACUGUCCUGUUCCUCCAUAAGCAACUAAAGUGGUAUGUGCAAAUCCACUGGUGCCGCCGUGCCCUGGCCUUGCACAAGAGCCUCGCACAGCCUACGGCGCCGGUUGUGCAGGAUGGCGGCCUGCGGAUGGCAGAGGGGACCUGGCCGAAGUGGCCCUCUGCCCAUUGCAGCCCCAGCAAGGCCCAGGAUGGACAGUCCUUUAAGUGGGUGGCUCUGCCCAAAAAUGGUUGCCCCAUUUUCCCAAUUCAGGUUUGGCCAAAGCUCCUCCACCUUUGGGGAGGCUGUGAAAUUACCUGUGUGAUGGAAGCAGGCAACCCGCGGUGGUGGCCCCCCGGACGGCGAACCCGGCGCCGUUACCCACGCACAGCCCUGGAUCGCAGGAGCAGUCUAGGUGCUGCCNCGUUGCCUUCUGCAACACCCGGUCCGCAUCUUGAGAGGACUGAUGCUUCUAGGCCCUUGGGCCCAAGCGAAGGGACCCUGCUUAACGUGACACCUUCCUUCGGCCACCCCAGCCGGCCUUCAGUUCCCGCCGAGACAGGAACAACCCCACCGGCAAAGUGCCAGUGUCCUGGCGGAGAAAGGGGCAAAGCUGAAGGUGUACAGCAAAAGGCCCUNAAGGGACCACCGGCGGGCAGGCGGGUCCCCACCCCACGCACUGAGGAAGCCGCCUGGGCCGCCAGNGCCCUCACUUUCCUGCUGGUGGUGCUGACGCUUGCCGUGUUGUACACGCAGCUGCACCGCAAAUGCCGCCGCAGUCGCAGUCUCUAUUGGGCCACCAGCAGCGAGGAGGGGCACGACACCGUGGCCGCUGUCAUCAAACACCGCCUCCUCUCGGCUCAGGCCCGGCGCAAGAAGCGAUCACGAACCCAGCAGAGGAUGCUGCUUCUGCCGACCACUUCUAGCGAGAGCUCCGAGUAA
Molecule: long non-coding RNA, 2077 nt
Organism: Salvator merianae (Argentine black and white tegu)
Lineage: Eukaryota; Metazoa; Chordata; Lepidosauria; Squamata; Teiidae
Source: Ensembl